AUUGAACGCUGGCGGCAGGCCUAACACAUGCAAGUCGAGCGCGCGGCGGACGGGUGAGAAAUGUCUGGGAAACUGCCUGAUGGAGAGGGAUAACUACUGGAAACGGUAGCUAAUACCGCAUACCAUCUGAUAUGCCCAGAUGGGAUUAGCUAGUAGGGGGGGUAAUGGCUCACCUAGGCGACGAUCCCUAGCUGGUCUGAGAGGAUGACCAGCCAAACUGGAACUGAGACACGGUCCAGACUCCUACGGGAGGCAGCAGUGGGGAAUAUUGCACAAUGGGCGCAAGCCUGAUGCAGCCAUGCCGCGUGUAUGAAGAAGGCCUUCGGGUUGUAAAGUACUUUCAGCGAGGAGGCGUUACUCGCAGAAGAAGCACCGGCUAACUCCGUGCCAGCAGCCGCGGUAAUUC
This 406-nucleotide ribosomal RNA is filed under the name uncultured bacterium. Its description in RNAcentral is "partial 16S ribosomal RNA". It matches the Rfam family "Bacterial small subunit ribosomal RNA", at positions 30 to 526 of the family's 1533-position model. The record is from RNAcentral.